Non-coding RNA from Paramisgurnus dabryanus, 1428 nucleotides. NCBI's taxonomy places the organism in Eukaryota, Metazoa, Chordata, Actinopteri, Cypriniformes, Cobitidae. The record is from RefSeq and is a predicted model, not a curated record.
AUUAAGUGUACUAGAAGUACAUUGGUAAUAAAUAUAUGCUUUAUUACAUUUUUAAGAAAUAUGCUAAACUUAAGAAUAUUUUUAAUGUAUUUAUAUUAAGUGUACUAAAAGUAUGCUGGUAAUAAAUAUAUGCAUAAUUACACUUUUAAGAAAUAUGCUAAACACAAAUGUACUUCUAGUGAAGUUUUAGUAUAUUUGGAUAAAACAUACUUUUUUCAAAACAUGAUUCAUUAAUUGUAAUAAGCUAACAUUGAACUUUCCUCAAGCCUUUCAACAUUAUAUCAUUCCGAUUGCACAAUAAGCUAUUUUUUCAAAGAUUUGCUUAAAAUCUUACUUGUUUAAUUUCAAAAUCUUACUUGUUUAAUUUCAAACAACACACGUGACACACGUGACUAAACCUGAUUGGUUGUUGUCAUAGUAACACGUCACGGUGCUAUUUGAAACUUGUUCAGUUUAGUUCAGUUGUUCACGGUGCAUGCGGUUGCUUGCAUUAAACGUAUAAACUGUUAAAUUAGAUGGCGACUCUGCAUUAAACGUAUUUAUUUAAUUAAUCGGCGAUCAUAUUUCACCAGAGGACUAAGAUAAAACAACUCGAUUUAAAAUGUGAGCAGUUUUAGUGGAUCUGACGUUGAGGGAAAAAGUAUUUCGCUUUUUGUUUGGAGAUGAACGAAACAACACGAGGCACAGCGAUAUAAAUAUGACCAACCAGAUCCCAAGUAGACAGGAACAAAUGAAGAUAUAGCGCAUAGAAAGACUUAUUCUUGGUGAUCAACUGCUAUUGACAUUUUUGAAUCGGGGCAAAUGUGGAGCGAAGAAAAACGUUUGCAACACAUCCAUUCCAGAGUGCUCUGACAGAUAAAACUGACACGCUUGAUGAGGACACAGUCAAAGCUUUAAAAGCCCGUGUGAUAAAGCAGUCUUCAAUUACUACGGUGUCUGAAUUGCAAGAAUAAGUCACCCUCCACUUAAACAUGUGACAUCUAAACUGUUUUGUGUUUUAGUUCAGCUUUUUAUAGGUUUAUCUUAAGUUGGUUAAAGGCAGAGUGCACUAUUUUUGAAAGCCAAUGUUAACAUUUGAAAUUACCUAAAAAAACAUGCCUCUACCCCAAUAGAAUCUGGACCUUCUUUUGAUAGAGCCACCACACACAUACGCAACCCCGGCAAGGAUGUCGGUUAGAAGACACGCCCCUUACUGCUGGUUGGCUACAAGUGUGUUUUGGUAGUCGGCCCAAUUUCCUUUUCCAAAGCGUUUUUCAAACAUUGUGCACUCCGUCUUUAAAUUGCACUUAAACAUUUUUUUUCAUUAACUUUUUAUGCAGAGAAUUACAUUAUGAUUAUUAUAUAAUCAUUGCUUAUGAAUAUUUAGUGAUUGCAUAUUCAUAGUGUACUUUUCAUUAAUACAUUUAAUGUUAAUGUUGUACAAUUUGA